This 135-nucleotide transfer RNA is filed under the name Prevotella sp. RNAcentral's name for it is "tRNA-OTHER". It matches the Rfam family "tRNA". From Rfam's summary of the family: Transfer RNA (tRNA) molecules are approximately 80 nucleotides in length. Their secondary structure includes four short double-helical elements and three loops (D, anti-codon, and T loops). Lineage: Bacteria; Pseudomonadati; Bacteroidota; Bacteroidia; Bacteroidales; Prevotellaceae. The record is from RNAcentral.
CCCACAGUAGCUCAGUCUGGUAGAGCGCUAGUAAAUGAAUAGUCUUCCGACUUUUUUCCCUGCAAAGGUGACGCAGGAAUGACUUACUUCGAUAAUGGUGACUGGAUGUCGUAGGUUCAAAUCCUGCCUGUGGGA